This 2210-nucleotide long non-coding RNA is filed under the name Oreochromis niloticus (Nile tilapia). RNAcentral's name for it is "lncRNA (ENSONIG00000031158.1)". The record is from RNAcentral. Lineage: Eukaryota; Metazoa; Chordata; Actinopteri; Cichliformes; Cichlidae.
AUGGAUAAACUGUGUGGUGUUACAGGUGGAAACGGCAUGAAUGUAUAUUACUGCGACACUGAAAACUGUGUCAAUGAUGUAAAGCGUGUUUACUGUGAAGAUCUAGAGCUCCUGGGUUUCAAAUUGUCAGAGAUUUCAAAUUGUUCCUACGGUCCGCUUCCACCCAAUACCAUCUGCCAACACAGAGGCCACUUGUUUGUCUCCACCUUCUUAAAGUCCUGUGAAUUUGAAGGGGACACUGACUAUAUAGAGACCAAAAAUUGUACAGACUGCUCUUUUUUAAAUAGAGCUACCACACCGGCAGUCACCCCAAGCACUGUGGAAACAUCUUCGCAGCCCAAUUCCAAACUUCUAGGUGUCGUGCCCGCAGUAGCCUGUAAGUGUGGAGACACAGUUAGUUGCCAUACUUACUGCCAUACAUGUUUUUGAGUAUAGCUUCUGCUACUAACACAGCUUGUUUUCACUAUGCAAAUUUAAUCUAAACUAUAACCUAUUUUAUUUUUUUGUUUUUGAAACAGGUUCUACAGGUGUGGUACUGCUGUUAGCGGGUUUCUUUUACAGAAAAGCAAAAAAUCAGCAACAACAAAGGUAACUAAAAUUAAAAAAUAACUUGACUAAUUUGAUAAAAGUAUCCAAAUUUAAAAUAAUGUUUUGUAUCUUUAGACAGACUCAAACCAGUCCUGGGUUGCAGAAUGACAGCUCAUUAGUCUAAUGCCUUGGAUCUAACAUCAUACUCCUUGUUCGAGGCCAGGGCAUGCCUCCACUAAGGGUCCUUCCUGCUACCCAAGCCUACUGUGAGGGACAACUGUAGCCAUGCCGGCUCGGACGUCGUCUUGAUUAAGGUCUGCAUGAGGUGUUGAAGAACCAGAAGAGUUUACAUAAGCAGACAGCAUCAUUCUGAUGCUCGCACUUUUGGCUAGUACUUAAAUAGGGCUUUUCCAAGUGAUGGCAACAUCAAGAAGAAGGAAUGCUCAAUAGCAGAAUAAGCUGUUUAGUACUACCUGAAAGAAUUUGCCAAGUUUUUCAUGGGGGAAAUCCAAAAAUGUAUUUUCCUCACAAAUGUGACACAUUUAUGUGGAAAUACACAGGCUUUCCAACAUGGAAGUACAAAGAAGGAUUGUUACAACCAACUUUAUAUUAUCUGUAGAUGUAUUAUUAUGUGUGUAAAAAGAAAAUAAUCAUAUUUCUAACCAAAAUGGUUUUCCCUCUUUAAAAUUGUUUAUUUAUUCUUCUUCUCAUUAUGUUCUCUAUGAGACUGGCUGUUGUCAGGGCCCAUUUGUGCCCCUUUACAUACUUUUUUUUUAAUCCAGUGGUGCACUGAAUGAGAAGCAGGAAAGGAAGUGUACAUUUGAUUCAAAGAAAUGGGAUGUAGUCUAUAUUUACAGCUAUAUGCAGUAAACUUUGUUAUUAGAGACAAGGACAUUUAGUUAUUUCUGAACAUGUGUAAGGCUGUCAAACAGUAAUUGUUUUGGCCUUUUCUGAGAAGAAAACAGUUCUUUAUAGCACCUAAAAGUAUCACUACAGAAAUAUGCAUUGGUGGAUUUCUUUACAGAGAAGUGGGUGAAAAUUCCUCCAGAGCUGUGUGCAAACUUAUGCUUUUCAGCAAGGAUUCCUCCAUCAUGUAUCACAUCAGUGGUUCCCAAACUUUUUUUUUGCUAGUUUGGGCACAAACACAUCCUUCAACCACACACACCCAUUUUUGUUUUUCAAACUCCAUUGCAGUUUAUUUCACACCUCAAACCUUUUGUAAACAGUGAAACACAGAAAAGUAAACUGUAAUAAAUUACAGCUUGCAAUAAUAAACCACUAAACAAACCAUCUUUAUGGUGAAAUUAUUUUACGUAUAGUUGUUGUUGUUUUUUUACUGUGUAAGAAUAUUCAACCAUGCUAUCAAUACAUUUUUCAAAAAAUGUCUCUCUGUGCAAAAUGAGUUUAAAAACAUAAACAACUGUGGGAUACUGUUUGUCAGUGAUUUGAACCAGGAAAACAAACUGUGGCAGGAUCAGCCUGAUAUUAUUUGUAUCCCACUGUAACUUUACUGUAUAAAGAGCUAACAUCGCCAAAAUUUCAUUAUAAGAAGUGUUUGUGAAUUAAAAAUCAAGAAUGUGGGAUACUGUUUGUCCGUGAUUUGAACAGUCCAGCGCAUGCUCCUGACGCAGGGGAAACAAAUUCUGUCGGGGAGACCAACCUUGGCAGCACCAUUGUGCAGG